This 723-nucleotide long non-coding RNA is filed under the name Monodelphis domestica (gray short-tailed opossum). RNAcentral describes it as "lncRNA (ENSMODG00000030372.2)". Lineage: Eukaryota; Metazoa; Chordata; Mammalia; Didelphimorphia; Didelphidae. The record is from RNAcentral.
AGCUUGUUCUUUUUUAAUAGAUAAUGAUCUGAGGUCCAAAGACAUCGUGAUUCACUUCAGGUGAAAUAGCUAGUAAGUGACCAAAGCAAGACUAGAACCCAGGUUUCAUGUCUUCUAACCCAGUGAUCUUUUCACUAUGAUGAUAUACCAAUACUUGAAACAUGAACUACUUUCCCUCUCAAAGUUGGGAGAAGAGAAUAGUGACAAAAAAGGCAGCAUGAUUCUUUGGAAUAUGGUAAUAAAAAGCAAAUGAAUUUUGUCAUUUAAAAACAUUAAUUUAGUCAAACAUUUAUUGGGCUUAUGCUAUAUUCAAGGCAUCAUAAGAGGAACUAAACGAGCAACUAGGAAAAUGAAGCAGCGUCGAUAUGUCUUCAAGAAGCCUCCAGCAUCCUUGAGGGGCAGAGAAGGUUCAUUUAAGACAUGUGCAUCAAUAGUGUCCAAGAAGCAAAGCAGCCAUUUUUCUUCUUGGUGACAAGAGUGGUCUUGCUCCCUGCAGUUGUCAUCUUACUCUCACUGUGCAGAAUGGAUGAAAGAAAGCAGGCACAUUGCAGCGUUUGGGGAGCAGUUCUGUCUUUGAAAUGAGUUUACUUUCAAAAGGUUUUUAAAAAUUAAUUUACAAUUUUGAUCGGAAGAAAAUGUACUUGACACUUGGGUCUCUGGGAGAAUAUGCUGUAUAAAAAUAAGUAAACAUAUAUCUUCAGUAAGCAAUAUAAACCAGCUUGA